RNAcentral lists this ribosomal RNA (253 nucleotides) under uncultured bacterium. RNAcentral describes it as "partial 16S ribosomal RNA". It matches the Rfam family "Bacterial small subunit ribosomal RNA", at positions 524 to 776 of the family's 1533-position model. The record is from RNAcentral.
GACGUAGGGGACGAGCGUUGUCCGGAUUCAUUGGGCGUAAAGCGCGCGUAGGCGGCCACGCAAGUCGGGUGUGAAAUCCCGGAGCUCAACUCCGGAACUGCACUCGAAACUGCGCGGCUUGAGGUAGGUAGGGGAGAUCGGAAUUCCUGGUGUAGCGGUGGAAUGCGCAGAUAUCAGGAGGAACACCGGUGGCGAAGGCGGAUCUCUGGGCCUUACCUGACGCUGAGACGCGAAAGCUAGGGGAGCAAACGGG